GUAUUGGGUGGAAAGUGGCAACGGGUGAGUACACGUUGGUGACCUGCCCUGAGGAUGGGAAUAGGCGUGGGAAACCACGGCUAAUACCCCGGAUGUCUAAGCUGUUAGAGGGCUUAGACUACAGCCCCUGCAAUGGGUGCGCCUCGGGAUGGGCCUGCGGGCUAUCAGCUUGUUGGUGGGGUAAUGGCUUACCAAGGCGAAGACGGCUAUGGGGCGUGAGAGCGCGACCCCCCACAAUGAAACUGAGACACGGUCGCGAGACUCCUACGGGAGGCAGCAGUGAGGAAUAUUGCGCAAUGGGGGCAACCCUGACGCAGCAACGCCGCGUGGACGAUGAAGGCCUUCGGGUUGUAAAGUCCUUUUCUGAAGGAAGAUAGUGACGGUACUUCAGGAAUAAGUCCCGGCUAACUACGUGCCAGCAGCCGCGGUAAAACGUAGGGGGCGAGCGUUAUCCGGAUUUACUGGGCGUAAAGCGCACGUAGGCGGCAUCGUAAGUUGGACGUGAAAGCUCCCGGCUCAACUGGGAGAGGUCGUUCAAAACUGUGGUGCUUGAGGUUGAUAGAGGAGAGUGGAAUUCCCGGUGUAGUGGUGGAAUGCGUAGAUAUCGGGAGGAACACCAGUGGCGAAGGCGGCUCUCUAGGUCACACCUGACGCUGAGGUGCGAAAGCGUGGGGAGCGAACGGGAUUAGAUACCCCGGUAGUCCACGCUGUAGACGAUGGAUACUAGGUGUGGGAGGUUAUUUACCCCUUCUGUGC
Molecule: ribosomal RNA, 756 nt
Filed under: uncultured organism
Description: bacterial SSU rRNA
Rfam family: Bacterial small subunit ribosomal RNA
Source: RNAcentral